This 241-nucleotide long non-coding RNA is filed under the name Gossypium barbadense (sea-island cotton). RNAcentral's name for it is "long non-coding RNA (GBAR_LNC005414)". The record is from RNAcentral. Lineage: Eukaryota; Viridiplantae; Streptophyta; Magnoliopsida; Malvales; Malvaceae.
ACACGGUUGAGACACACAUUCGUGUCUCUGCCCGUGUGGACAAAAAUAGGCUAUUACCAAGCCAUUUUUCCACCCAAACUUGCACAAACCUAAACCAAUCCAAUUGGCACAAAAACAUGGUGUAAUUAGGCAUUCAACCAACCUCAAACAAGCAUAAUUCUUACCAUUUCAAUACCAACCAAUACCAAACAUAUCAAUACCACAAUGUGCCAUUCAAUUCAUACCAAAAACUCAUAAUCUC